Long non-coding RNA from Choloepus didactylus (southern two-toed sloth), 1257 nucleotides. RefSeq lists it as uncharacterized. Lineage: Eukaryota; Metazoa; Chordata; Mammalia; Pilosa; Megalonychidae. The record is from RefSeq and is a predicted model, not a curated record. The transcript is spliced from 3 exons.
GUUGGUAAGUAGACAAUAAAGUGAGUAGGUCUUUCAAAUACAUGCCAAGGAAACAUUCUUCCUUUUACUGUCUUCAAAGUUAAACUUAGUUGAAGCCUGCGGGCCUGUAACUUAAGCAAGAUUAUGAAAUUUGAUUAUGAUGCAGCCAGUUGACUUUAGGUCCAAAUGCUAUACUUGACUUGUAAGCCUCUGAGUGUCUGUUGGUAUAAUUUUAUAAGGGCUAAGGGCUGUGGGUUACCCUGACAUGGCCCAGGCUCUGAAUGUCUGGCCACUCAUGGAAAGAACCAUGGAAGGAAGGAAGUUCUGUAAGAAAAAGUUUUGUGACUCAGGGUGGUCUGAAAGGCCCAAACACACAGCCAGAUCUUUAUGCGGUCAUCCCAACUGCAGGAAUCUGUUGAUGGAAUCACUCUCCUUCCCAGAUUUGGUGAGACCAAAUGAAUUCCAGGCUGUUAGGGCAACAGCUUCCAUACUGUUGUCUUCUAGAAGGUGGCAUGUAUAUACCCACUCUGAAAUGGUUGAAUAUACCUGAAAAAGAAAUUAGUGAACUGAAAGUUCGGGUUGAUUAGACAAACCUCUGAUAAGACCGUUCAGGAAAAGGAAAGAAGAUGCCAAAAAAUUGACAUCACCCAUAACAUUCACAUUCUACUGUUGAAACAACGCAACAGGGAAACCCAGAUGGCUAAUAAACAUAUGAAGAGCUGUUAGCCCUCACUGGUCAUCACAGAAAUAUAACUCAGAGCAAUUAGGGAGUCUGAUAUUAUCAAAUAGUCGUGAGGAUGUUGGGAAAUAAGAAACUUCCUAUACUGCUUAAAGGAAAGUAAACUGCUACAUCCAUUCCUAAGAGCAACCUGGAAGAAUCUGGUGAACUAAUUAUACUUUCUAUGAUGUAGCAAUUACACUCCUUAGAGCUCUUACACAUAUUCCUGAGAAUGUUUAACAAAGCACUAUUUGUGGCUCUCUUUCAGGGAGAUUAAACAUACACCCAAAAAACAAUCCUACACUCAUUGUAAAGGUUACGUGUGUACCUAAGUAAACACAGAAAUGACAGGCUAGAAGUGCAUAUAUUAAGUAGUCAAAAAUGUGCAAAGGGUAGGGAUGGUGGAAUGGUGUAUGAAUGGAAUAAAUAGUAAAAUAAAAGUAGAAAAGAAAAAUAUAAAGGGCAUUGGUAGAUGUCAAUAGCAUGCAAUGAAAUGGAGCAUGUGAUCCAUUCAUUUUUGUGCAUUCCAUAUUCUAAAAUAAUAAAUGGUGGAAUCAAGA